This 492-nucleotide ribosomal RNA is filed under the name uncultured bacterium. RNAcentral describes it as "partial 16S ribosomal RNA". It matches the Rfam family "Bacterial small subunit ribosomal RNA", at positions 29 to 507 of the family's 1533-position model. The record is from RNAcentral.
AGUGAACGCUGGCGGUAGGCCUAACACAUGCAAGUCGAACGGCAGCACAGUAAGAGCUUGCUCUUACGGGUGGCGAGUGGCGGACGGGUGAGGAAUACAUCGGAAUCUACUUUUUCGUGGGGGAUAACGUAGGGAAACUUACGCUAAUACCGCAUACGACCUACGGGUGAAAGCAGGGGAUCUUCGGACCUUGCGCGAUUGAAUGAGCCGAUGUCGGAUUAGCUAGUUGGCGGGGUAAAGGCCCACCAAGGCGACGAGCCGUAGCUGGUCUGAGAGGAUGAUCAGCCACACUGGAACGGAGACACCGUCCAGACUCCUACGGGAGGCAGCAGUCGGGAAUAUUGGACAAUGGGCGCAAGCCUGAUCCAGCCAGACCGCGUGGGUGAAGAAGGCCUUCGGGUUGUAAAGCCCUUUUGUUGGGAAAGAAAAGCAGCAGGUUAAUACCCCGCUGUUCUGACGGUACCCAAAGAAUAAGCACCGGCUAACUUCGUG